This 73-nucleotide transfer RNA is filed under the name Deltaproteobacteria bacterium. Its description in RNAcentral is "tRNA-Thr". It matches the Rfam family "tRNA". Rfam says of the family: Transfer RNA (tRNA) molecules are approximately 80 nucleotides in length. Their secondary structure includes four short double-helical elements and three loops (D, anti-codon, and T loops). RNAcentral also lists the same sequence under 2 other names. The record is from RNAcentral. Lineage: Bacteria; Pseudomonadati; Myxococcota; Myxococcia.
GCUGGCGUAGCUCAGUUGGUAGAGCACCUGAUUUGUAAUCAGGCGGUCGCGGGUUCGAGUCCCAUCGCCAGCU